UACGAAGGGGGCUAGCGUUGUUCGGAAUCACUGGGCGUAAAGGGCGCGUAGGCGGCGUGACAAGUCACUUGUGAAAUCUCCGGGCUUAACUCGGAACGGUCAAGUGAUACUGUCGUGCUAGAGUACAGAAGGGGCAACUGGAAUUCUCGGUGUAGCGGUGAAAUGCGUAGAUGUCGAGAGGAACACCUGCGGCGAAGGCGGGUUGCUGGGCUGAUACUGACGCUGAGGCGCGAAAGCCAGGGGAGCGAACGGG
RNAcentral lists this ribosomal RNA (253 nucleotides) under uncultured bacterium. RNAcentral's name for it is "partial 16S ribosomal RNA". It matches the Rfam family "Bacterial small subunit ribosomal RNA", at positions 524 to 776 of the family's 1533-position model. The record is from RNAcentral.